UACGUAGGGUGCGAGCGUUAAUCGGAAUUACUGGGCGUAAAGCGUGCGCAGGCGGCUUUGCAAGACAGAUGUGAAAUCCCCGGGAUCAACCUGGGAACUGCAUUUGUGACUGCAAGGCUAGAGUACGGCAGAGGGGGAUGGAAUUCCGCGUGUAGCAGUGAAAUGCGUAGAUAUGCGGAGGAACACCAAUGGCGAAGGCAAUCCCCUGGGCCUGUACUGACGCUCAUGCACGAAAGCGUGGGGAGCAAACAGG
Molecule: ribosomal RNA, 253 nt
Filed under: uncultured bacterium
Lineage: Bacteria
Description: partial 16S ribosomal RNA
Rfam family: Bacterial small subunit ribosomal RNA
Source: RNAcentral